UAGUGAUAUAUCAAGUUUUUAGUGUAUACAAUUUCAAAUAAUUUCAAUAAGAUACAUUUUUUUAGAGCUAGAAGUCCUUAAACCUACAGUUAUUAGCGAUAACCUCAGUUUUAAAAUCAGAUAAACGAAAUCGUUGGUUAGAACGACUCUAAUGAAAAUCCGAAUUAUUUAUUGGUUUUUUUUCCUUAAGUAGUUUGAGUUAUUUAUCAUGGCGGGAUAUUCUUAAUUUGUAAUUCAUUUAUUUAUUUACAUAAAUAUUGUUAUUUUGGUUUAUCUAGUUGAUUUUUAACGUGUUUAUAAUAUUGUUUUGAAAUUACAGGAGAUUGUAUAUCGGAUACAGUUUCGCUUUUUUAUUCUAGGAACCUGCGUAUUACUAAUUUUUCGAGCAGAGUAUCAUCAGACCGCAACGUAUUAGAACCGUAUGAUAUUAAUACAACAAUAUGUAGACCGCAUAAUAAAUAACAACUAGGGCUGGUAAUGUAAUGCGGCCCCGGAAAACCAUAAAAAAUGUCUUCCCCCUCAAAAAAAAAAAAAAAAAAAACGUGUUCAUGUCAGAAAAAUUCAAACUAACGCAUCUAUAAAAUACGCUACAAAACAGGAAAAAAAAAAAUUACUUAAACCAAAAACCGUAUAUUUUAUAAAACGUCUCGUUCAAAAACACACCGCGAAGUAAGCUUUGGUAAACAGUGCAAAGUACAUUGAAAUUCCCGUUCUCUCGUUAUAAACUGUAUCUAUGUAAUAUAGUACAGUGUUACAUCUAGCGAUGUAAAUCAACAAUAUUACUUUGGUAAUGUAAAGUGAAACAAUAUAAUUUAUCGGUAAGUAUUUUACCAUUUUACAAGUAAUUUAUUUCUUAAUCGUUUUACUCGAAUAAUGAAUAAUUGCUAAUGGCCGUACUAAGACCAUCCGGUAACACUGAUCAGAUUAGUUUCGAAAUAAAUUAAAAUGAUAAGAGUGAUAAGACGUUUAAAAAUCAUAAAUGUUUUGUCCGUUUAUUCAGUUUUCACCGACUACUUAAGUAAUAAGUAAUAACUAAUAACAUUUAUUAUUUAUUACUACUAUUAAAAUAAUUACCAUCAUAAUUUACAAUGCAAUUAGGUUUAGGUAUGUACAAUAAUUACACGAAGGGAAACAAAAUUUGCAUAGCUAUAUAGUUUAAUGUAGCCAGUUUAAGGUGGUAUAUUAUGCAGUAUGGGUAUUUUAAGUUCCAAUAAUAAUAAUACGUUUUUUGUUUAAUUAGAAAAUAGAAAAAUUAAUUUUGCAAUAUUACCAUGAAAAAGUAGCUUACCGGCUAAUAAUCUAUCGAUAAUUAAUUCGGGCAAGCAUUAUUUAAAAAUAAAUAACCGGCAAUUUCACGUCACUAUAGUUGUAACAACGAAAUAAACAUAAUAUUGUAUUAUUGUUCGAAAACUAUUUGUCGGCGAACGUAAAACAGAAUCGAAUCGUGAAUAAUAUCAAUAAAUUUAUUGUUUGGUAACGCGCUGCGCGUGUCGUGUUCGGAAUAAAUAAUAACAAAAACCGACGAGUGUUAUUGGCACGCACGUGUGUUUUCGUUACUCUCGCCAAGAACGGGGGGGGGGGGAAACAAAAAAAUGUUAACUUUUACUUUCAAAACACGUGUAGGAUAGGUACGCGCGCAUUAGACGGUUUUCGCGUACAAUUCGAAUUAUUCCGAAUUGAAUUACCGUCGUCCCAUAUAAUAAACCGCACUACGAUUGGGUUAAGAGGACGUGAUAUCCGCAUGUGCCGUCUCCGUCUUGCAAACGGUACACGAAAUGUCAAAUUUGAGUUCGGCUGGCACAAUUUUGGUGCUGUCAGUUUCAAUAUCACAGUGAACCGGCCUACGAUAAAACGUAAAGAUAAGGACAUUCUGUGUAACUAUGGAGGUUUUUUUUUUUUCGAUAUUUUAAUUUUUAAGCGAGAUGUAAGCGUUUUCGAAUCGUGAUGUUCCAAGAACUUACUCUUAUCGCGCUUAAAAAUUAUCGACAAACACUUUCGCGGUUACACACAGUCAGUGAUGACAAUGUUCUUACCGAUAACAGUUUGAUUCACUCUUAAUAUUAAAACUAACAGCAAAAAGUUGUCACUGUUGAACGAAAACGUGUUUGUAAAGACGGAGACGAUGCGUACGCGGAUAUCACGACCCGUACGUAUAAUUCUGAACACAGAUUUGAAUAUAUUUUGUCGUCAACUUGAGAUCGACUUUUCCGGUUUUUCAGUUUUUAAACUUGACGAGUCGUUUGAAUCCGUUACCCAGAAUACUGGUCGAGUUUCUAAAUUAAUCGGAAUGAAAACACGUCUAAAUUUCUAUGUUGCGCGCAUGUUAGACGAAGACGAAAAACCACCGCUUCCGAUCUCCUCGAGUUAGGCCGACUGGGGUCAGAUCAGGCUCACCUAACGGUGAAAUACUAUAAUUGAACUACGAUAACACCACGGUAAUAUUUAUAGUAUAAUAUAGCAAUACAAAAUAUCCCGCUCUUUGUAUGUACGCGUUUCGGAUGUAUUUUUCGAGAUAAAAACGAAUUAUUGUACAGACGACCUAGUCGUAGUAGACUGGUAUGAUAAUGUAACGAAAAAUUGAACGAACAGGUAAAAACAAAACAAAACGGAAAUGUGUUUUUUAUCUAGGAGAAAGUAACAAAACUAUUAUAAUUUCUAAACACAAUGUCGUAGGUAGUGUGAGUAGUGCGCAAUACAAUUAUUAUAUAAAAAAUAAAGACGUGCCAUAAAAAAGAGACGUUCUAUUAUUAAAUACACGUUAUUAUUAUUGUUCGCACUUUCCACGACUCAACGACGGAACGUUGACCGUCAUCUCGUUAAAUAAUUUGGUGAUGUUUAAUUCGCUUUUAGUGUUUUGGGGUCGUUUGAACGUGGAAAGAAUACAAAUAAAAUAAAACGCGAUUAUUGGUUUUAAUCUAAGUUGCCGAGUUUUUGGAUAGUUUUUUUUUUUUUUUUUUGUCGUUGUUGCAAGGGAAAUUUACGUUGUUUUGCAAAAUGUUAAUAUUAAUUACAGAGACUAUGGCGUCCUUCUACUUGAAAAAUUAUAUCAUAUUCGUCUCGAUCCAAACCGUCAGUGGCGUGCGCGCAGAGGAGGGGGAAUGUUAUGGGUUAUGUUCCUCUCUCAUUUUCUUAAGAGCACAACUAUAUGUGUGUUUAUUCAGUCAUUCUAGCAGGAAAUUAUGUAUCUAUUUUUACCAAAUUACAAGAAAAAAAGAUUGGUUUAUUGUAUACAAAUUGGCAUUUUCGGAUUGCUAUGGUACAACAGAAGAACGGUGUAUUCGAGAUAACGAUACUCGUUAGUCUCGCAACAGCGUAACCAGUGGGAAGGCUAAAGAGGCUUUAGCCACCCCUUCGUUUGUUUUGUCAAAUAUUGAAAAAUAAUAUGGAUUAUAUUCAACAUUGACUAAUUAUUACCAACUCAAAUUUAAUUUUAAUCAUUACGUAUAAUUGCACUACUUUUUUAACUAAGUAGACAAAAUUUCUACUGCACUGCAUUUAUGUAAUUCGCAAAACGUUUGUUAUUUUAUCCGUAGGUUUUCGAGUUAAACCGCCCUCCUCAAUCGAAAAAUCCCGGGUACGCCACACAAUAUCUCAUCCCAUUGGCAAUUCCAUUUAAAUUAUCGUGUACAUUAUCCGUAUAAACGCCCGGACCCUUACGUCCUCAACCCCGAAAAGAUUUAGCAUGGUUCCGGAAUACGAUGCGAGAGGUAUCUCACAUAUGUAUAUUUAUGUAUAAGGUGUGUAUUUUUUAAAUAAAAAAUGUAUAGAUAAAAACGAAAAAUAAAUAAAUGAGUAAACGCGUCACCUGGAGUGUUAUGAUAAGUGUUAUUAUACGACCGGUUUAGAAUUAAAAAUUCAUCAUCGGGUACGUCACAGUCAAAACGAAAAACGCGACUGAAUGUGAAAAAUUAAAUGAAAGAAUACAAAAAAAAAAAAAUUAUACAAAUUGGUCGUUACGUAAAAAUAAUUUAUUUUAAUAGGUGACAUUAUUUAAAAUGGGUUACUAAUUCGUAUUUAUAUAAUGAAAAUUACGAUACUACACAAUCAUCAUUAUCGGUUAAAUGCGUUGGCUAUCAUACUGGCAGUACAUAAAAAUGUACUUAUAGACCGGGAGGACAUACCGAAAUGGCUGUGAGGCCGGCAAGUGGACUAGACGUCUAGACCUGUAAUUACAGAUUGUACAGUUUGUUUGUCAUUGAUAUUAUGAAAAUAAUAUGAUUAUUAUACACUUGCGAUUUCAUUUUUUUUUUUUCAAACCUUACCUCUACCCCCCCCUCCCCCACGGAAAUAGCUCUUAUAGCCAACGAGUUCGUAGCUCCCGGCCCGUACAAAUUCCCUACUCCCGUCUCCGCGCCCGCCGAAGACCUAGACCGAAUCACGCCACUGAGAACGCGCCGUCGAACAGAACGGGCGGAUAAUAACAUUAACAUAGUACAGCACGAAACGCGAUGUAGGCGGGGGGAGGGGAAAGAGAGAAAAAAAAACUCUUUAAAAACGACGAUGUUCCACAAGUGUGCGCGCGCGUAGCGUCGUAAUGUGCAAUGGCGCGUGUCGCAGCGCGCAGUGCAACAACAACGACGACAGGCGACCGGCUCUCCACGUGGAGUGACGUCACGCGUAAAUACACACGACUGGCCGCGUUCCCGCGAUUUCCCGUACACAACUGUUCGUGUCGGUUAAUGUUUUCGCGGGCAUUCGCGCCCGUCCGUGAGCGCGUACACAACGCGCGGCGGGGACGCAAAGCGUUUUGAACGGUUGCGCAAAACGUUUUACGCGUUCGUGAACCGAUGUAAACACAACAAAUGUUAUGCGGUCCGGAGGGUGAGGAGUAUAAUAAUGUUCAGGUUGUGUUUAACUAUACAGUUUCUAUACAUCCGCACUCGGGAACGGGAACGGAAAUACACAGCGUUCGCUGCGUUACUUUUGGACGGCGGAAUAACACAGGCCCGUGUUUUAUUUCUGCCGGCUGUUUCAUUGUUCUCAAGCCAAUGUGAUAACAUUGCGGUAUUUGCGAAAAGACCGACGGCGAUUUCCCGACUACUUCGCGGGACGAGCCCACCGGGUCUGGCGAUAACGUGGGGCGAACGGACCAAGGGUCGCCAACUUUCAAACUGUGCAACGUAGGAUAAUAUGGUUUCGUUCGCGUCCGUUUCGCAUCGUAAUUAAAUUGAAUACAAAAUGUAUUAUCAUU
Molecule: long non-coding RNA, 5191 nt
Filed under: Cinara cedri
Lineage: Eukaryota; Metazoa; Arthropoda; Insecta; Hemiptera; Aphididae
Source: RNAcentral